Molecule: ribosomal RNA, 439 nt
Filed under: uncultured bacterium
Lineage: Bacteria
Description: partial 16S ribosomal RNA
Rfam family: Bacterial small subunit ribosomal RNA
Source: RNAcentral
CUACGGGAUGCUCCAGUGAGGAAUAUUGCACAAUGGGGGGAACCCUGAUGCAGCAACGCCGCGUGGAGGAUGACGCAUUUCGGUGUGUAAACUCCUUUUAUAUGUCAAGAAAAUGACGGUAGCAUAUGAAUAAGCACCGGCUAACUCCGUGCCAGCAGCCGCGGUAAUACGGAGGGUGCAAGCGUUACUCGGAAUCACUGGGCGUAAAGGACGCGUAGGCGGGUUGGAAAAUCAAGUGUGAAAUCCUACAGCUUAACUGUAGAACUGCACUUGAAACUUCUAAUCUAGAGUAUGGGAGGGGGAGAUGGAAUUAGUGGUGUAGGGGUAAAAUCCGUAGAUAUCACUAGGAAUACCUAAAGCGAAGGCGAUCUCCUGGAACAUUACUGACGCUAAGGCGUGAAAGCGUGGGGAGCAAACAGGAUUAGAUACCCCCGUAGUC